GGGUUGUGAGGUUAAGCGACUAAGCGUACACGGUGGAUGCCCUGGCAGUCAGAGGCGAUGAAGGGCGUGCUAAUCUGCGAUAAGCGCCGGUAAGGUGAUAUGAACCGUUAUAACCGGCGAUACCCGAAUGGGGAAACCCAGUGUGAUUCGUCACACUAUCAUUACGUGAAUACAUAGCGUAAUGAAGCGAACCGGGGGAACUGAAACAUCUAAGUACCCCGAGGAAAAGAAAUCAACCGAGAUUCCCCCAGUAGCGGCGAGCGAACGGGGAGGAGCCCAGAGCCUGAAUCAGCAUGUGUGUUAGUGGAAGCGUCUGGAAAGGCGCGCGAUACAGGGUGACAGCCCCGUACACAAAAGCGCAUGUGUUGUGAGCUCGAUGAGUAGGGCGGGACACGUGGUAUCCUGUCUGAAUAUGGGGGGACCAUCCUCCAAGGCUAAAUACUCCUGACUGACCGAUAGUGAACCAGUACCGUGAGGGAAAGGCGAAAAGAACCCCGGCGAGGGGAGUGAAAAAGAACCUGAAACCGUGUACGUACAAGCAGUGGGAGCACCCUUUGGGGUGUGACUGCGUACCUUUUGUAUAAUGGGUCAGCGACUUAUAUUCUGUAGCAAGGUUAACCGAAUAGGGGAGCCGGAGGGAAACCGAGUCUUAAUUGGGCGUUAAGUUGCAGGGUAUAGACCCGAAACCCGGUGAUCUAGCCAUGGGCAGGUUGAAGGUUGGGUAACACUAACUGGAGGACCGAACCGACUAAUGUUGAAAAAUUAGCGGAUGACCUGUGGCUGGGGGUGAAAGGCCAAUCAAACCGGGAGAUAGCUGGUUCUCCCCGAAAGCUAUUUAGGUAGCGCCUCGUGAAUUCAUCUCCGGGGGUAGAGCACUGUUUCGGCUAGGGGGCCAUCCCGGCUUACCAACCCGAUGCAAACUGCGAAUACCGGAGAAUGUUAUCACGGGAGACACACGGCGGGUGCUAACGUCCGUCGUGAAGAGGGAAACAACCCAGACCGCCAGCUAAGGUCCCAAAGUCAUGGUUAAGUGGGAAACGAUGUGGGAAGGCCCAGACAGCCAGGAUGUUGGCUUAGAAGCAGCCAUCAUUUAAAGAAAGCGUAAUAGCUCACUGGUCGAGUCGGCCUGCGCGGAAGAUGUAACGGGGCUAAACUAUGCACCGAAGCUGCGGCAGCGACACUAUGUGUUGUUGGGUAGGGGAGCGUUCUGUAAGCCUGUGAAGGUGUGUCGUGAGGCAUGCUGGAGGUAUCAGAAGUGCGAAUGCUGACAUAAGUAACGAUAAAGCGGGUGAAAAGCCCGCUCGCCGGAAGACCAAGGGUUCCUGUCCAACGUUAAUCGGGGCAGGGUGAGUCGACCCCUAAGGCGAGGCCGAAAGGCGUAGUCGAUGGGAAACGGGUUAAUAUUCCCGUACUUGGUGUUACUGCGAAGGGGGGACGGAGAAGGCUAUGUUGGCCGGGCGACGGUUGUCCCGGUUUAAGCGUGUAGGUGUGUGUUCCAGGUAAAUCCGGUUCACUUUAACACUGAGGCGUGACGACGAGGCACUACGGUGCUGAAGCAACAAAUGCCCUGCUUCCAGGAAAAGCCUCUAAGCAUCAGGUAACAUCAAAUCGUACCCCAAACCGACACAGGUGGUCAGGUAGAGAAUACCAAGGCGCUUGAGAGAACUCGGGUGAAGGAACUAGGCAAAAUGGUGCCGUAACUUCGGGAGAAGGCACGCUGACACGUAGGUGAAGUGAUUUACUCAUGGAGCUGAAGUCAGUCGAAGAUACCAGCUGGCUGCAACUGUUUAUUAAAAACACAGCACUGUGCAAACACGAAAGUGGACGUAUACGGUGUGACGCCUGCCCGGUGCCGGAAGGUUAAUUGAUGGGGUCAGCGCAAGCGAAGCUCCUGAUCGAAGCCCCGGUAAACGGCGGCCGUAACUAUAACGGUCCUAAGGUAGCGAAAUUCCUUGUCGGGUAAGUUCCGACCUGCACGAAUGGCGUAAUGAUGGCCAGGCUGUCUCCACCCGAGACUCAGUGAAAUUGAACUCGCUGUGAAGAUGCAGUGUACCCGCGGCAAGACGGAAAGACCCCGUGAACCUUUACUAUAGCUUGACACUGAACAUUGAGCCUUGAUGUGUAGGAUAGGUGGGAGGCUUUGAAGUGUGGACGCCAGUCUGCAUGGAGCCGACCUUGAAAUACCACCCUUUAAUGUUUGAUGUUCUAACGUGGACCCGUGAUCCGGGUUGCGGACAGUGUCUGGUGGGUAGUUUGACUGGGGCGGUCUCCUCCUAAAGAGUAACGGAGGAGCACGAAGGUUGGCUAAUCCUGGUCGGACAUCAGGAGGUUAGUGCAAUGGCAUAAGCCAGCUUGACUGCGAGCGUGACGGCGCGAGCAGGUGCGAAAGCAGGUCAUAGUGAUCCGGUGGUUCUGAAUGGAAGGGCCAUCGCUCAACGGAUAAAAGGUACUCCGGGGAUAACAGGCUGAUACCGCCCAAGAGUUCAUAUCGACGGCGGUGUUUGGCACCUCGAUGUCGGCUCAUCACAUCCUGGGGCUGAAGUAGGUCCCAAGGGUAUGGCUGUUCGCCAUUUAAAGUGGUACGCGAGCUGGGUUUAGAACGUCGUGAGACAGUUCGGUCCCUAUCUGCCGUGGGCGCUGGAGAACUGAGGGGGGCUGCUCCUAGUACGAGAGGACCGGAGUGGACGCAUCACUGGUGUUCGGGUUGUCAUGCCAAUGGCACUGCCCGGUAGCUAAAUGCGGAAGAGAUAAGUGCUGAAAGCAUCUAAGCACGAAACUUGCCCCGAGAUGAGUUCUCCCUGAGACUUAGAGUCUCCUGAAGGAACGUUGAAGACGACGACGUUGAUAGGCCGGGUGUGUAAGCGCAGCGAUGCGUUGAGCUAACCGGUACUAAUGAACCGUGAGGCUUAACCUUACAACGCCGAAG
This 2926-nucleotide ribosomal RNA is filed under the name Salmonella enterica subsp. enterica serovar Newport str. Levine 1. RNAcentral's name for it is "bacterial LSU rRNA". It matches the Rfam family "Bacterial large subunit ribosomal RNA". Lineage: Bacteria; Pseudomonadati; Pseudomonadota; Gammaproteobacteria; Enterobacterales; Enterobacteriaceae. The record is from RNAcentral.